GGCGUGUACUGCUCUGCUGGGCCUUACCUCUUGGUGAGCCGGCGUGGCCUUAACUGGUUGCGUCGGGGAACCAGGACUUUUACCUUGAGAAAAUUAUAGUGUUCAAAGCAAGCCUAUGCCUGAAUACAUUAGCAUGGAAUAAUAAAAUAUGACGUGCGGUUCUAUUUUGUUGGUUUCGAGAGUCGCCGUAAUGAUAAAAAAGGAUAGUUGGGGGCAUUGGUAUUGAGUCGAGAGAGGUGAAAUUCUUGGAUUGACUCAAGACCGACUACUGCGAAAGCAUUUGCCAAGGAUGUUUUCAUCAAUCAAGGACUAAUGUUACGGGAUCGAAAACGAUCAGAUACCGUUGUAGUCUUAACAGUAAACUAUGCCGACUAGGGAUCGGGCGACCUCAAAUUUGAUGUGUCGCUCGGCACCUUACGAGAAAUCAAAGUUUUUGGGUUCUGGGGGGAGUAUGGUCGCAAGGCUGAAACUUAAAGGAAUUGACGGAAGGGCACCACCAGGUGUGGAGCCUGCGGCUUAAUUUGACUCAACACGGGGAAACUCACCAGGUCCAGACAUAACUAGGAUUGACAGAUUGAUAGCUCUUACAUGAUUUUAUGGGUGGUGGUGCAUGGCCGUUCUUAGUUGGUGGAGUGAUUUGUCUGGUUAAUUCCGAUAACGAACGAGACCUUAACCUGCUAAAUAGCCAGGCCGGCUUGUGCUGGUCGCAGGCUUCUUAGAGGGACAGUCAG
This 731-nucleotide ribosomal RNA is filed under the name uncultured eukaryote. Its description in RNAcentral is "SSU rRNA". It matches the Rfam family "Eukaryotic small subunit ribosomal RNA", at positions 673 to 1426 of the family's 1831-position model. The record is from RNAcentral.